RNAcentral lists this ribosomal RNA (429 nucleotides) under uncultured archaeon. RNAcentral describes it as "bacterial SSU rRNA". It matches the Rfam family "Archaeal small subunit ribosomal RNA", at positions 474 to 903 of the family's 1478-position model. The record is from RNAcentral.
UACCAGCUCUCCGAGUGGUAGGGAUGUUUAUUGGGCUUAAAGCGUCCGUAGCCGGCUUAGCAAGUCUCCAGUUAAAUUCAGCGACCUAAUCGUUGAGCCGCGGGAGAUACUACUAGGCUAGGAGGCGGGAGAGGUCAACGGUACUUCCGGGGUAGGGGUGAAAUCCUAUAAUCCCGGGAGGACCACCAGUGGCGAAGGCUGUUGACUAGAACGCGCUCGACGGUGAGGGACGAAAGCUGGGGGAGCGAACCGGAUUAGAUACCCGGGUAGUCCCAGCUGUAAACGAUGCGAGCUAGGUGUUGGGGUGGCUACGUGCCACUUCAGUGCCGCAGGGAAGCCAUUAAGCUCGCCGCCUGGGGAGUACGGCCGCAAGGCUGAAACUUAAAGGAAUUGGCGGGGGAGCACCACAAGGCGUGAAGCUUGCGGUUC